This 305-nucleotide ribosomal RNA is filed under the name uncultured bacterium. RNAcentral describes it as "bacterial SSU rRNA". It matches the Rfam family "Bacterial small subunit ribosomal RNA", at positions 337 to 638 of the family's 1533-position model. The record is from RNAcentral.
UCCUACGGGGGGCAGCAGUGAGGAAUAUUGGUCAAUGGGCGGAAGCCUGAACCAGCCAAGUCGCGUGAGGGAAGAAGGCCCUGCGGGUCGCAGACCUCUUUGGACGGGGAGCAAGGCCGCCGACGUGUCGGCGGAAGGAGAGUACCCGUAGAACAAGCAUCGGCUAACUCCGUGCCAGCAGCCGCGGUAAUACGGAGGAUGCGAGCGUUAUCCGGAUUUACUGGGUGUAAAGGGAGCGUAGACGGCAGUGCAAGUCCGGAGUGAAAGCCCGGGGCUCAACCCUGGGACUGCUCUGGAAACUGUAA